RNAcentral lists this ribosomal RNA (153 nucleotides) under Potamogeton maackianus. RNAcentral describes it as "5.8S ribosomal RNA". It matches the Rfam family "5.8S ribosomal RNA". From Rfam's summary of the family: 5.8S ribosomal RNA (5.8S rRNA) is a component of the large subunit of the eukaryotic ribosome. It is transcribed by RNA polymerase I as part of the 45S precursor that also contains 18S and 28S rRNA. Lineage: Eukaryota; Viridiplantae; Streptophyta; Magnoliopsida; Alismatales; Potamogetonaceae. The record is from RNAcentral.
AUGACUCUCGGCAACGGAUAUCUUGGUCCUCGCAUUGAUGAAGAACGUAGCGAAAUGCGAUACUUGGUGUGAAUUGCAGAAUCCCGUGAACCAUCGAGUUUUUGAACGCAAGUUGCGCCCUAAGCUUCCGGGCCGAGGGCAAGCCUGCGUGGG